GAGGCCAAUGGCGGGUGCUAUACAUGCAGUCGAGCGAACAGAUCAAGGAGCUUGCUCCUUUGACGUUAGCGGCGGACGGGUGAGUAACACGUGGGUAACCUACCUAUAAGACUGGAAUAACUCCGGGAAACCGGGGCUAAUGCCGGAUAACAUUUAGAACCGCAUGGUUCUAAAGUGAAAGAUGGUUUUGCUAUCACUUAUAGAUGGACCCGCGCCGUAUUAGCUAGUUGGUAAGGUAACGGCUUACCAAGGCAACGAUACGUAGCCGACCUGAGAGGGUGAUCGGCCACACUGGAACUGAGACACGGUCCAGACUCCUACGGGAGGCAGCAGUAGGGAAUCUUCCGCAAUGGGCGAAAGCCUGACGGAGCAACGCCGCGUGAGUGAUGAAGGUCUUCGGAUCGUAAAACUCUGUUAUUAGGGAAGAACAAAUGUGUAAGUAACUGUGCACGUCUUGACGGUACCUAAUCAGAAAGCCACGGCUAACUACGUGCCAGCAGCCGCGGUAAUACGUAGGUGGCAAGCGUUAUCCGGAAUUAUUGGGCGUAAAGCGCGCGUAGGCGGUUUCUUAAGUCUGAUGUGAAAGCCCACGGCUCAACCGUGGAGGGUCAUUGGAAACUGGGAAACUUGAGUGCAGAAGAGGAAAGUGGAAUUCCAUGUGUAGCGGUGAAAUGCGCAGAGAUAUGGAGGAACACCAGUGGCGAAGGCGACUUUCUGGUCUGUAACUGACGCUGAUGUGCGAAAGCGUGGGGAUCAAACAGGAUUAGAUACCCUGGUAGUCCACGCCGUAACGAUGAGUGCUAAGUGUUAGGGGGUUUCCGCCCCUUAGUGCUGCAGCUAACGCAUUAAGCACUCCGCCUGGGGGAGUACGACCGCAAGGGUUGAAACUCAAAGGAAUUGACGGGGACCCGCCACAGCGGUGGAGCAUGUGCUUAAUUCGAAGCACGCGAGAACCUUACCCAAUCUUGACAUCUUUUGACACUCUAGAGAAUAGAAGCCU
RNAcentral lists this ribosomal RNA (1000 nucleotides) under Staphylococcus aureus. RNAcentral's name for it is "bacterial SSU rRNA". It matches the Rfam family "Bacterial small subunit ribosomal RNA", at positions 32 to 1018 of the family's 1533-position model. The record is from RNAcentral. Lineage: Bacteria; Bacillati; Bacillota; Bacilli; Caryophanales; Staphylococcaceae.